CCUACGGGUGGCAGCAGUGAGGAAUAUUGGUCAAUGGACGAGAGUCUGAACCAGCCAAGUAGCGUGAAGGAUGACAGCCCUAUGGGUUGUAAACUUCUUUUAUAUGGGAAUAAAAUGUUCCACGUGUGGGAUUUUGUAUGUACCAUAUGAAUAAGGAUCGGCUAACUCCGUGCCAGCAGCCGCGGUAAUACGGAGGAUCCGAGCGUUAUCCGGAUUUAUUGGGUUUAAAGGGAGCGUAGGUGGAUUGUUAAGUCAGUUGUGAAAGUUUGCGGCUCAACCGUAAAAUUGCAGUUGAAACUGGCAGUCUUGAGUACAGUAGAGGUGAGCGGAAUUCGUGGUGUAGCGGUGAAAUGCUUAGAUAUCGCGAAGAACUCCGAUUGCGAAGGCAGUUCACUGGACUGCAACUGACACUGAGGCUCGAAAGUGUGGGUAUCAAACAGGAUUAGAUACCCCGGUAGUC
Molecule: ribosomal RNA, 460 nt
Filed under: uncultured bacterium
Lineage: Bacteria
Description: partial 16S ribosomal RNA
Rfam family: Bacterial small subunit ribosomal RNA
Source: RNAcentral